RNAcentral lists this transfer RNA (73 nucleotides) under Treponema sp. RNAcentral describes it as "tRNA-Met". It matches the Rfam family "tRNA". Rfam says of the family: Transfer RNA (tRNA) molecules are approximately 80 nucleotides in length. Their secondary structure includes four short double-helical elements and three loops (D, anti-codon, and T loops). Further hydrogen bonds mediate the characteristic L-shaped molecular structure. tRNAs have two regions of fundamental functional importance: the anti-codon, which is responsible for specific mRNA codon recognition, and the 3' end, to which the tRNAs corresponding amino acid is attached (by aminoacyl-tRNA synthetases). tRNAs cope with the degeneracy of the genetic code in two manners: having more than one tRNA (with a specific anti-codon) for a particular amino acid; and 'wobble' base-pairing, i.e. permitting non-standard base-pairing at the 3rd anti-codon position. RNAcentral also lists the same sequence under 2 other names. Lineage: Bacteria; Pseudomonadati; Spirochaetota; Spirochaetia; Treponematales; Treponemataceae. The record is from RNAcentral.
CGCGAGGUAGAGCAGUUGGCAGCUCGUCGGGCUCAUAACCCGGAGGCCGUAGGUUCGAGUCCUACCCUCGCUA